RNAcentral lists this ribosomal RNA (253 nucleotides) under uncultured bacterium. RNAcentral describes it as "partial 16S ribosomal RNA". It matches the Rfam family "Bacterial small subunit ribosomal RNA", at positions 524 to 776 of the family's 1533-position model. The record is from RNAcentral.
UACGAAGGGGGCUAGCGUUGCUCGGAAUCACUGGGCGUAAAGCGCACGUAGGCGGUCUCUUAAGUCGGUGGCGAAAUCCUGGAGCUCAACUCCAGAACUGCCUUCGAUACUGGGAGUCUCGAGUUCGGGAGAGGUGAGUGGAACUGCGAGUGUAGAGGUGAAAUUCGUAGAUAUUCGCAAGAACACCAGUGGCGAAGGCGGCUCACUGGCCCGAUACUGACGCUGAGGCACGAAAGCGUGGGGAGCAAACAGG